GAUGAACGCUGGCGGCGUGCCUAAUACAUGCAAGUCGAGCGAACAGACGAGGAGCUUGCUCCUUUGACGUUAGCGGCGGGCGGGUGAGUAACGCGUGGAUAACCUACCUGUAAGACUGAGAUAACUUCGGGACACCGGCGCAAAUACCGUAUAAUCUAUUGAACCGCGUGGUGCAAUGGUGAAAGUCGGUUUUGCUGGCACUUAUAGAUGCAUCUGCGCCGCAUGAGCUGGUUGGUAAGGUCACGGCUUACCACGGCAACCAGGCGUGGCCGACGGGAGAGGCGGAUCGGCGACCCGGGAGCGGAACCACGCACCAUACUACUACGGUAGGCACCAGUAGGGAACGUGCGGCAGCGGGCGAAAGUCUGGCGGAGCAACGCCGCGUGAGUGAUGACGGUCUCCGGAGCGUAAAACUCCGUUAUUAGGUAAGAACAAAUGUGUAAGGAACUAUGCACGUCUUGACGGUACCUAAUCAGAAAGCAACGGCUAACUACGUG
This 497-nucleotide ribosomal RNA is filed under the name uncultured bacterium. RNAcentral's name for it is "partial 16S ribosomal RNA". It matches the Rfam family "Bacterial small subunit ribosomal RNA", at positions 28 to 507 of the family's 1533-position model. The record is from RNAcentral.